CCUACGGGAGACAGCAGUAGGGCAUAUUGCUCAAUGGGGGAAACCCUGAAGCAGCAACGCCGCGUGGAGGAUGAAGGUUUUCGGAUUGUAAACUCCUUUUGUUAGAGAAGAUAAUGACGGUAUCUAACGAAUAAGCACCGGCUAACUCCGUGCCAGCCGCCGCGGUCAUACGGAGGGUGCAAGCGUUACUCGGAAUCACUGGGCGUAAAGAGCGCGUAGGCGGGAUAGCAAGUCAGAUGUGAAAUCCUAUGGCUUAACCAUAGAACUGCAUUUGAAACUGUUAUUCUAGAGUAUGGGAGAGGUAGGUGGAAUUCUUGGUGUAGGGGUAAAAUCCGUAGAGAUCAAGAGGAAUACUCAUUGCGAAGGCGACCUGCUAGAACAUAACUGACGCUGAUGCGCGAAAGCGUGGGGAGCAAACAGGAUUAGAUACCCGGGUAGUC
Molecule: ribosomal RNA, 440 nt
Filed under: uncultured bacterium
Lineage: Bacteria
Description: partial 16S ribosomal RNA
Rfam family: Bacterial small subunit ribosomal RNA
Source: RNAcentral